GCCUUGAGCAUAUGUCUGCUCAUAUCGAGGUGAUCCCAUGUUCGAUACAGUUCCGUUCACAUGAAAAUUCUGCUGCUGCUGAACCAUCUGGCCAUUCCAGGCAGGACCUGUCCCUUGAGCAUACGAAUGCUCAUAUCGAGGUGAUCCCAUGUUUGGUACAGUUCCAUUCGCAUGAAAAUUCUGCUGCUGCUGAGCCAUCUGGCCAUUCCAGGCAUGACCCAUCCCUUGAACAUAUGACUGCUCAUAUCGAGGUGAUCCCAUGUUAGAUACAGUUCCAUUCGCAUGAAACUUCUGCUGCUGCUGCUGAAUUUGAGGAGUCAAAGGAUCGGUUUGUCCAGCCAAACCAGAAGAUUGGAUUUUUGGAGAACCAGAGGUACUAUUACUAUCAGAGAACAUAUC
Molecule: long non-coding RNA, 399 nt
Filed under: Gossypium barbadense (sea-island cotton)
Lineage: Eukaryota; Viridiplantae; Streptophyta; Magnoliopsida; Malvales; Malvaceae
Description: long non-coding RNA (GBAR_LNC003615)
Source: RNAcentral